Molecule: ribosomal RNA, 1985 nt
Filed under: Vibrio vulnificus
Lineage: Bacteria; Pseudomonadati; Pseudomonadota; Gammaproteobacteria; Vibrionales; Vibrionaceae
Description: bacterial LSU rRNA
Source: RNAcentral
UUAAGUGACUAAGCGUACACGGUGGAUGCCUUGGCAGUCAGAGGCGAUGAAGGACGUAGUAACUUGCGAUAAGCGUAGAUGAGGCAGUAACAGCCACUUGAGUCUACGAUUUCCGAAUGGGGAAACCCACUGGCAUAAGCCAGUAUCAUUGAGUGAAUACAUAGCUCAAUGAAGCGAACCGGGAGAACUGAAACAUCUAAGUACCCCGAGGAAAAGAAAUCAACCGAGAUUCCGAAAGUAGCGGCGAGCGAAAUUGGAUUAGCCCUUAAGCUUUACAUGUGUUAGACGAACGGUCUGGAAAGUCCGACGAUACAGGGUGAUAGUCCCGUAGUUGACGAUGCAUGUUCAGUGAAAUCGAGUAGGGCGGGACACGUGUUAUCCUGUCUGAAUAUGGGGGGACCAUCCUCCAAGGCUAAAUACUCCUGACUGACCGAUAGUGAACCAGUACCGUGAGGGAAAGGCGAAAAGAACCCCUGUGAGGGGAGUGAAAUAGAACCUGAAACCGUGUACGUACAAGCAGUAGGAGCACCUUCGUGGUGUGACUGCGUACCUUUUGUAUAAUGGGUCAGCGACUUAUAUUCAGUGGCAAGGUUAACCAUCUAGGGGAGCCGUAGGGAAACCGAGUCUUAACUGGGCGCCAUAGUCUCUGGAUAUAGACCCGAAACCGAGUGAUCUAGCCAUGGGCAGGUUGAAGGUUGAGUAACAUCAACUGGAGGACCGAACCGACUAARUSUUKRAWMRWUMMGAUCGGACAUCAUUUAAAGAAAGCGUAAUAGCUCACUAGUCGAGUCGGCCUGCGCGGAAGAUGUAACGGGGCUAAGUUGUAAACCGAAGCUGCGGCAAUAGAUCGGAAACUGUUUAUUAAAAACACAGCACUGUGCAAAAUCGUAAGAUGACGUAUACGGUGUGACGCCUGCCCGGUGCCGGAAGGUUAAUUGAUGGGGUUAGCGUAAAGGAAGCUCUUGAUCGAAGCCCCGGUAAACGGCGGCCGUAACUAUAACGGUCCUAAGGUAGCGAAAUUCCUUGUCGGGUAAGUUCCGACCUGCACGAAUGGCGUAAUGAUGGCCACGCUGUCUCCACCCGAGACUCAGUGAAAUUGAAAUCGCUGUGAAGAUGCAGUGUACCCGCGGCUAGACGGAAAGACCCCGUGAACCUUUACUACAGCUUGGCACUGAACAUUGAACCUACAUGUGUAGGAUAGGUGGGAGGCUUUGAAGACGUGACGCCAGUUGCGUUGGAGCCGUCCUUGAAAUACCACCCUUGUAUGUUUGAUGUUCUAACGUUGGCCCCUAAUCGGGGUUGCGGACAGUGCCUGGUGGGUAGUUUGACUGGGGCGGUCUCCUCCCAAAGAGUAACGGAGGAGCACGAAGGUGGGCUAAUCACGGUUGGACAUCGUGAGGUUAGUGCAAUGGCAUAAGCCCGCUUAACUGCGAGAAUGACGGUUCGAGCAGGUGCGAAAGCAGGUCAUAGUGAUCCGGUGGUUCUGAAUGGAAGGGCCAUCGCUCAACGGAUAAAAGGUACUCCGGGGAUAACAGGCUGAUACCGCCCAAGAGUUCAUAUCGACGGCGGUGUUUGGCACCUCGAUGUCGGCUCAUCACAUCCUGGGGCUGAAGUCGGUCCCAAGGGUAUGGCUGUUCGCCAUUUAAAGUGGUACGCGAGCUGGGUUUAGAACGUCGUGAGACAGUUCGGUCCCUAUCUGCCGUGGGCGUUGGAAGAUUGAAGGGGGCUGCUCCUAGUACGAGAGGACCGGAGUGGACGAACCUCUGGUGUUCGGGUUGUGUCGCCAGACGCAUUGCCCGGUAGCUAAGUUCGGAAUCGAUAACCGCUGAAAGCAUCUAAGCGGGAAGCGAGCCCUGAGAUGAGUCUUCCCUGAUACUUUAAGUAUCCUAAAGGGUUGUUCGAGACUAGAACGUUGAUAGGCAGGGUGUGUAAGCGCUGUGAGGCGUUGAGCUAACCUGUACUAAUUGCCCGUGAGGCUUAACCAU